RNAcentral lists this ribosomal RNA (506 nucleotides) under uncultured bacterium. Its description in RNAcentral is "bacterial SSU rRNA". It matches the Rfam family "Bacterial small subunit ribosomal RNA", at positions 8 to 518 of the family's 1533-position model. The record is from RNAcentral.
AGAGUUGAUCAUGGCUCAGGAUGAACGCUGGCGGCGUGCUUAACACAUGCAAGUCGAACGGAGUUUUAACGGAAGUUUCGGAUGGAAGUUUAGAAACUUAGUGGCGGACGGGUGAGUAACGCGUGGGUAACCUGCCUCAUACAGGGGGAUAACAGUUAGAAAUGACUGCUAACACCGCAUAAUAUAGCGAAACCGCAUGAUUUUGCUAUCAAAUAUUUAUAGGUAUGAGAUGGGCCCGCGUCUGAUUAGCUAGUUGGUGGGGUAAAGCCUACCAAGGCGACGAUCAGUAGCCGGCUUGAGAGAGUGACCGGCCACAUUGGGACUGAGACACGGCCCAAACUCCUACGGGAGGCAGCAGUGGGGAAUAUUGGACAAUGGGGGAAACCCUGAUCCAGCGAACCGCCGCGUGAGUGAAGAAGUAUUUCGGUAUGUAAAGCUCUAUCAGCAGGGAAGAUAAUGACAGUACCUGACUAAGAAGCCCCGGCUAACUACGUGCCAGCCGCUGC